Molecule: non-coding RNA, 73 nt
Organism: Podarcis lilfordi (Lilford's wall lizard)
Lineage: Eukaryota; Metazoa; Chordata; Lepidosauria; Squamata; Lacertidae
Source: the annotation of a GenBank genome assembly
AGCCAUAUAGCUCAGUGGUAGAACAUUUGCUUUGCAUGCAGAAGGUUCCAGGUUCAAUCCCCAGGUCAGGCUG